RNAcentral lists this ribosomal RNA (460 nucleotides) under uncultured bacterium. Its description in RNAcentral is "partial 16S ribosomal RNA". It matches the Rfam family "Bacterial small subunit ribosomal RNA", at positions 338 to 795 of the family's 1533-position model. The record is from RNAcentral.
CCUACGGGUGGCAGCAGUGAGGAAUAUUGGUCAAUGGACGAGAGUCUGAACCAGCCAAGUAGCGUGAAGGAUGACUGCCCUAUGGGUUGUAAACUUCUUUUAUAUGGGAAUAAACUGUUCCACGUGUGGGAUUUUGUAUGUACCAUAUGAAUAAGGAUCGGCUAACUCCGUGCCAGCAGCCGCGGUAAUACGGAGGAUCCGAGCGUUAUCCGGAUUUAUUGGGUUUAAAGGGAGCGUAGGUGGAUUGUUAAGUCAGUUGUGAAAGUUUGCGGCUCAACCGUAAAAUUGCAGUUGAUACUGGCAGUCUUGAGUACAGUAGAGGUAGGCGGAAUUCGUGGUGUAGCGGUGAAAUGCUUAGAUAUCACGAAGAACUCCGAUUGCGAAGGCAGUUCACUGGACUGCAACUGACACUGAGGCUCGAAAGUGUGGGUAUCAAACAGGAUUAGAUACCCGUGUAGUC